UGCCAGCCGCCGCGGUAAUACGGAGGGUGCAAGCGUUAAUCGGAAUUACUGGGCGUAAAGCGUGCGUAGGCGGCGCAUUAAGUCGGAUGUGAAAGCCCUGGGCUUAACCUGGGAAUGGCAUUCGAUACUGGUGGGCUAGAGUCUGAUAGAGGGUAGCGGAAUUCCGGGUGUAGCGGUGAAAUGCGUAGAGAUCCGGAGGAACAUCUGUGGCGAAGGCGGCUACCUGGAUUAAGACUGACGCUGAGGCACGAAAGCGUGGGGAGCAAACAGGAUUAGAUA
This 279-nucleotide ribosomal RNA is filed under the name uncultured bacterium. RNAcentral's name for it is "partial 16S ribosomal RNA". It matches the Rfam family "Bacterial small subunit ribosomal RNA", at positions 506 to 784 of the family's 1533-position model. The record is from RNAcentral.